GCGGAAGUGGCGGAAUUGGUAGACGCACCAGAUUUAGGUUCUGGCGCCGCAAGGUGUGUGAGAGUUCAAGUCUCUCCUUCCGCACCA
RNAcentral lists this transfer RNA (87 nucleotides) under Vibrio harveyi. Its description in RNAcentral is "tRNA-Leu". It matches the Rfam family "tRNA". Rfam says of the family: Transfer RNA (tRNA) molecules are approximately 80 nucleotides in length. Their secondary structure includes four short double-helical elements and three loops (D, anti-codon, and T loops). Lineage: Bacteria; Pseudomonadati; Pseudomonadota; Gammaproteobacteria; Vibrionales; Vibrionaceae. The record is from RNAcentral.